GCUACCAGGCUUACUAUCUAGUGAUGUUACCCGUGAACCUCCUGCUUCGAGGCAUGUAUCGAAGAAAUGAACCAAUUUGGAAUGAAGCUUUGUAUCGGAGCUUGAUUCGUUUUGUGAUAAUCACGUGACCAGUGACGUCCGAAGCUUCGUUUCACACCCCCCCACGUGACUGCUUCGAAGUUGAAUUCAAAGCGGUUCACUGGGUGCGUCUUUGUGGGUUGUUGCAGUAGAAGAGUCAACAGUUAGGAAAGUUAGUUAAUAGGGAGAUUAUUA
Sander lucioperca (pikeperch) is the source of this 273-nucleotide long non-coding RNA. RefSeq lists it as uncharacterized. NCBI's taxonomy places the organism in Eukaryota, Metazoa, Chordata, Actinopteri, Perciformes, Percidae. The record is from RefSeq and is a predicted model, not a curated record. The transcript is spliced from 3 exons.